This is an unclassified non-coding RNA of Colobus angolensis palliatus, 300 nucleotides long. It matches the Rfam family "Metazoan signal recognition particle RNA". Rfam says of the family: The signal recognition particle (SRP) is a universally conserved ribonucleoprotein. It is involved in the co-translational targeting of proteins to membranes. The record is from Ensembl. NCBI's taxonomy places the organism in Eukaryota, Metazoa, Chordata, Mammalia, Primates, Cercopithecidae.
ACCGGGUAUGGUGGGUGCGUGACUGUAGUACCAGCUACUUGGGAGGCUGAGGCAAGAGGAUUGCCUGAGUCCAGGAGUUCUGGACUAUAGUGUGCUAUGCUGAUUGGGUGUCUGCACUAAGUGUGGCCCCAAUGUGGUAACCUCCUAGGAGCAGGGGACCACCAGGUUGCCGAAGGAGGGGUGAACUGGCCCAGUUCAGAAAUGGAGCAGGUCAGAAGUCCCGUGCUGAUCAAUAGUGGGACUGCACUUGUGAAUAGCCACUGCACUGCAGCCUGGGCAACAUAGCAAGACCCCAUCUCU